RNAcentral lists this unclassified non-coding RNA (337 nucleotides) under soil metagenome. RNAcentral's name for it is "partial contains 5.8S ribosomal RNA, internal transcribed spacer 2, and large subunit ribosomal RNA". The stretch from base 1 to 120 matches the Rfam family "5.8S ribosomal RNA", at positions 35 to 154 of the family's 154-position model. The record is from RNAcentral.
GAUGAAGAACGCAGCGAAAUGCGAUAAGUAGUGUGAAUUGCAGAUUUCAGUGAAUCAUCGAAUCUUUGAACGCACAUUGCGCCCCUUGGUAUUCCAUGGGGCAUGCCUGUUCGAGCGUCAUUUGUACCUUCAAGCUCUGCUUGGUGUUGGGUGUUUGUCUCGCCUUUGCGUGUAGACUCGCCUUAAAACCAUUGGCAGCCGGCGUAUUGAUUUCGGAGCGCAGUACAUCUCGCGCUUUGCACUCAGAACGACGACGUCCAAAAGUACAUUUUUACACUCUUGACCUCGGAUCAGGUAGGGAUACCCGCUGAACUUAAGCAUAUCAAUAAGCGGAGGA